Molecule: long non-coding RNA, 1649 nt
Organism: Eucalyptus grandis
Lineage: Eukaryota; Viridiplantae; Streptophyta; Magnoliopsida; Myrtales; Myrtaceae
Exons: 2
Source: RefSeq, a predicted model, not a curated record
AUUACCGCCAAGUUUUCUUCCAGUUGUCAUCUCACUGAGUCUCAUGUCCCAUUAAUGAAGUUGUUUAAAUCUGGAAGACAGUUCACUAUAUCGAACCCGCCAAGAUGGCAAAUGUUUGGACGGGUGGAAGGUGGAUUUUGAUCCUCUUAUAUCUAGGUUCGGUACAAAGUCUGUGUAUUUAACUGGUAUGUAUACUCGUCUGUUAGUGCUUCUGGUGCCUAAUGUUUUUCAAACAGGUUAAAUUUUUACAAAUGAUCAAGCAGUCUGAGGAUGAUAUUGUAUUAAAAAGAUGUUAAUAGCAUUAACUUUACUAUGUCAUAAAGUAUAUUAUGUCAUAAAUCCUGAUUGCCUAUUGUGCAUGUGCUUUGAGAGAGAGAGAGAGAGAGAGAGAGAGAGAGAGAUUCUAGUUUUCUGAUCCUUUCAAUGUCCUAUUUACCAUAGAUACUUCGAAGAAGACGCAUACCUUGAAGUGGAUGGUAUUUGAAUCGGUAGUGGAGAAUGUUUGGGUCAAGCUUUGUUCUCAGAUUAUCACCACAGAACAAUUACAUAGUUGGUUUAUAUGCUCUGCUUCUUACAUGCAAAUAACAACGAAGUUUGAGGGAUGGCUUGCUGACUAAGGAACAUGGCUGCAAGUGUAUGAAAGCUGCUUGAAGUAUCUUCUUCUUUGCACUGCGAGGGAUUUUCUGAAAAGCUUCUGAUGAUGGGUGAACAUGAAUGCCAUUGACAAACAUUCCCAAUGCUAGACGUCUUGAGAACAACAAUCAACUUCAUCGCAGUCAGGCCCAGAUGAUGUAAAUUCCAUUGUCUUUUCCACUGCAGCAAUUGAAUUACUUUGCCGAUCAAUAGGGUUGGCCCUCAAUGGAGGAGAAAACAUUUCAAUGCGCGCGCAAGUUGCUUGUUGAAAUGCCCCCGUGAAGUCGCAAGAUGUAUUCGAGAAGGAGGUUGACUAUAUCUCCUGACUCAAAGGUUCAUCAUGUGCUCAAAUCACAAUAAGAAUUUUAUAUUUAUUUAUAGAGUCAUUGUUUCUCGAAACUUGAACAUUAAAUCAAGAAUAACGUCGCUUUUGUUUUGUUUUGUCUGCUUUGUGCAUUGUAACUGCUGAUGGUGGCUGACGUAAAUUGCUGGAGAAAUGAUUGGGAGUUGAUGGCCUAAGCGUUGAUCUCCAGAAGCACUCAUAUCGACUCUUUUUUUCCCUAUCCACGCUCUAAAUUUCUGCAACACUUUGAUUGUGAAUGAUAUGUUGUUGGUGGUUGAUUGUGAAUGAUAUGUUGUUGGUGGCCAGCAAUAGGGGCUGGCAGUGGUGGUCCGGCGACAAAUGGAGGUGGUAGCCGGUGAAGACUGCCGGUGGAGCAGCAAAAAUUUAGUUAAUCUCCAGUGAAGACCUUCAAUCAUCUGGAACUUCUGUAUUUGGUUAUGUAAUCUUGGUUUGCAGUCGGAAGGAGAAACUAAGAGCGUAUAGGGGGAAAAAAGCAGAAAUAAUGCAUAAAGAAAUGAAGGAAAAAAUAAUGGACCGAACCCCUUUUGUGUUUACGGCCUAGAUUGGCAAGGCCACAUAUGGCCCUAUGUCCGGAUUGAGCAGCUUGGGGCGUGAAUGAUGAUCAUUUUGGCCAGAAAUUAUUUUUGGAAUAGAAAUAGAAAUUCUUGGAUAA